This is a long non-coding RNA of Myxocyprinus asiaticus (Chinese sucker), 1970 nucleotides long. RefSeq lists it as uncharacterized. NCBI's taxonomy places the organism in Eukaryota, Metazoa, Chordata, Actinopteri, Cypriniformes, Catostomidae. The record is from RefSeq and is a predicted model, not a curated record. The transcript has 3 exons.
CUUGCCGCGAAUUUCAACCAGUUUACCGUAUAGGGGCGCACAGAAGCUUUUUGGCUGUUUUUUAAAUACCUUUUACCUUUUGCAAAAAAUAUAAAAAGCAGGUUUACGGUGAGCGUAUAUACAUAUUUAAUAUAAUUCCAUGGCUACUCCUCCCAAAAGAUUUUGUUCAAGCCUCGAGGCUGACCUCAUUGAAGAUCUCAGUAGAGGGAAACAUUGGAGCUCAGAACAUCCCAGAAGAGUGGAGGCAACCUGCUGCAGAUGUUAUAUGACAAGCCCAGCCUUGGUCCUACACUUUCCAGACCUACACCUGCCUGAGUCGUGUCCGUUCACAGCUUCAGCCUCCUUCUGCCAAGAUUCAGGAGGCUGAGAAACCAGUCCAGUUCUUUGAGCGUUCGGUCUUAAGUGACCAGUACAUAACAUAUUCUCUCCAUAAUUUAGAAGCUUUCCUUUGGAAAGUAGAUGAACAUGGUUAGGAGAAUUUUAAAGUGAUGGAAUUGGUUGGAGUUAUGAUUACUUGUUUUCGGCAUUCACUGAAAGUGAAUAUUUAUUGAAAGUCUUAUGUUUAUGUUUUUGUAGAUAUGUGUUUACCUCCAACCUCUUUGAGUCUGGAAAUCUGAAUGAGACUGAGUGGGCCAUCUACCAAGACUGGCAUUCAUGGCUCCUUCACUCAGUUUGAGUCUUAGAUUGAGCUGGAUGCCAUGAUCUAUCUUCGUGCUGAUCCCGAGGAGAUGUAUGCAGCGUCUUCAGUUCAGAGGGCGAGAAGAGGAACAGGGGAUUCCACUGGAGUAUUUAGAGAAGCUGCAUUAUAAGCAUGAGUGUUGGCUGUACAAUCGAACCACAAAAUUAGUGAACAUUUUAAUAUGUGCUAAAACUUAUUUGUGAGCUGUUUGUAGUUCGUUGUUGACCUACAAAGGUGUAAUUGACAAGGUAUAUACAGUAUAUUUAGGUCUGUGGCCAGUAUUUUAAUAUUCAGUAGUAUUGCAUUAUCAUUCUUUUGCAUUUUUAGUAAAAUAUUUUAGAAAUGCCAUGUUUGGACAUGAUCUAAAAUCACUGUAUUUGUUUCUGUUAUUUUCAGGUGAGGGAGUUUCUGAGCACUCUGUAGCAUCGAAAUAUUAAGAUCUGUGUAUAUCAUGUAUACUGGUGAUUUAUCACUAGUUUAAUGGAUCAAUGCCUGUUGUCACUUGAAUGAAUUAUUAUGAUUUUUGUUUUUCCUGCUUUUAUAUUUUGCUUAUUGUAUAUAUGUAUUUGAAUUCUGUAUUAUUAAAACUUGAUUUGUAUUAUUUAACACAACUGUAUAUAAUGUAUUAGAAGCAGAACAGUAUGUUAAAAUAUGAAGAGCACAAAACAUCAAUACACAUGCUUGUAGUAAAAAGUCAUGUGGCAGCACUGAAAAAAAAAGGAUUUGUGAGAAUAAAAUUAGCGUGGCUUGUAUUUUCAGUCAUGCAACAUUUGUCGUUAGAAAAAGUACAGAUGUAAUAUGGAUAUAGUAUACAUUUAAAUAUGACAGAUGGAUGUUGUGGCAUUGUUAUACAUUGGACAGCAUUAAUUUAGAGUUGGUAUGACAGUGGGAGUAAAACUGAAAAGGUUCAAGUUUGAAGUAGGUCAUUAUUAAGAUCUGAAUCGAUUUCCAAAAUAAACUUGAAUAGAAAGAUAAAAUGUAUGGGAUUUCAUAAUCAAUAAUUUCUGCAUCUUAAGACACGAUCCUCAUGCUGCAUGCUGAACUAAUUACUUAAACUAGUAGACACCACAAAAGUCAAAAUGUGUCAUUUGGGAUAAUGGCUGAAUGCAAUUGAAGUUUCACAUUUCACCAAAAUCAUGAGGUUGGUGUACCUAUUUUGGACAAAUGGAUCACACUUAUAAAUUCAAAGGAAUCUGGUUUUCAGGUUAUUUUAUCUCCUCUUACUAUAACAAUAAUGACUAUUGCUUUCAAGCUCCUUUCAGACAUUUUUUUGAACCACUUAACUAAAUAA